GAUGAACGCUAGCGGCAGGCCUAACACAUGCAAGUCGAGGGGUAGAACACUUCGGUGUUUGAGACCGGCGCACGGGUGCGUAACGCGUAUGCAAUCUACCUUGUACAGAGGGAUAGCCCAGAGAAAUUUGGAUUAAUACCUCAUAGUGUUAUCGAAUGGCAUCGUUUGAUAACUAAAGUUCCAACGGUACAAGAUGAGCAUGCGUCCCAUUAGUUAGUUGGUAAGGUAACGGCUUACCAAGACAAUGAUGGGUAGGGGUCCUGAGAGGGAGAUCCCCCACACUGGUACUGAGACACGGACCAGACUCCUACGGGAGGCAGCAGUGAGGAAUAUUGGACAAUGGGCGGCAAGCCUGAUCCAGCCAUGCCGCGUGCAGGAUGACUGCCCUAUGGGUUGUAAACUGCUUUUAUAUGGGAAGAAACCUACUGGAUUCACUCCAGAGCUGACGGUAUCAUAUGAAUAAGCACCGGCUAACUCCGUGCCAG
This 485-nucleotide ribosomal RNA is filed under the name uncultured bacterium. RNAcentral describes it as "bacterial SSU rRNA". It matches the Rfam family "Bacterial small subunit ribosomal RNA", at positions 28 to 511 of the family's 1533-position model. The record is from RNAcentral.